CCUACGGGUGGCAGCAGUGAGGAAUAUUGGUCAAUGGACGCGAGCCUGAACCAGCCAAGUAGCGUGAAGGAUGACUGCCCUACGGGUUGUAAACUUCUUUUAUAAAGGAAUAAAAUGAGGCACGUGUGCCUUUUUGCAUGUACUUUAUGAAUAAGGCUCGGCUAACUCCGUGCCAGCAGCCGCGGUAAUACGGAGGAUCCGAGCGUUAUCCGGAUUUAUUGGGUUUAAAGGGAGCGUAGAUGGGUUGUUAAGUCAGUUGUGAAAGUUUGCGGCUCAACCGUAAAAUUGCAAUUGAUACUGGCAGCCUUGAGUACAGUUGAGGUAGGCGGAAUUCGUGGUGUAGCGGUGAAAUGCUUAGAUAUCAGGAAGAACCCCGGUGGCGAAGGCAGCUGACUAAACUGUUACUGACACUGAUGCACGAAAGUGUGGGUAGCAAACAGGAUUAGAUACCCGAGUAGUC
RNAcentral lists this ribosomal RNA (460 nucleotides) under uncultured bacterium. RNAcentral describes it as "partial 16S ribosomal RNA". It matches the Rfam family "Bacterial small subunit ribosomal RNA", at positions 338 to 795 of the family's 1533-position model. The record is from RNAcentral.